RNAcentral lists this long non-coding RNA (6755 nucleotides) under Capsicum annuum. RNAcentral describes it as "long non-coding RNA (CANN_LNC021566)". Lineage: Eukaryota; Viridiplantae; Streptophyta; Magnoliopsida; Solanales; Solanaceae. The record is from RNAcentral.
ACUCUUGCUUGCUCCUUAGUUCAUCAAACUGAGGUUGCCAAUAGAGGACAUGUUUUGCAGUAGCAGUGUUGUACCUGCGGGAAUAUAUGAAAUGUACGCACUUGAUCCUAAAUGAAUGGCCAACUUUUUGGGUCAUCCCAUGACAUUGCUGGCAUAAAGCAUGUAAGAUAUUAUGUGUUAAAAAUGUUGAAUAAGUCAUCCACUUAUUCACUAUAGCAUACAAUAUUUUAUUAACCCAAUUCUAAAAAAUUAAUUGUAAAUUAUGAACCCAACAAGUCAAUUCCAUCUAUCUAAUAAUUAGAAAGUGUAUAUUAUGGAUGAAACAUGUCACUUCCCCAACUCUCCUAUUGUGUAAUUGAAGAACAUAACAUGUUCCCUAAUUUAAAAACAUGACAUUCUCCUGCCCCCGUUUUAGCUUAGUGGUAGAGCGCCACGCGUGAUGUGUGGGUUNNNNNNNNNNNNNNNNNNNNNNNNNNNNNNNNNNNNNNNNNNNNNNNNNNNNNNNNNNNNNNNNNNNNNNNNNNNNNNNNNNNNNNNNNNNNNNNNNNNNNNNNNNNNNNNNNNNNNNNNNNNNNNNNNNNNNNNNNNNNNNNNNNNNNNNNNNNNNNNNNNNNNNNNNNNNNNNNNNNNNNNNNNNNNNNNNNNNNNNNNNNNNNNNNNNNNNNNNNNNNNNNNNNNNNNNNNNNNNNNNNNNNNNNNNNNNNNNNNNNNNNNNNNNNNNNNNNNNNNNNNNNNNNNNNNNNNNNNNNNNNNNNNNNNNNNNNNNNNNNNNNAAAACUUUCAUAAAAGAAUAUGAAAUUUAAUUCUAAACAAAAACGUAUAAAAUAUUUAUAUGAUUUGAGAUCAAGUUUGUGCACAAAUUAGAUCAACUUGAUUUUUUGAAAUGAUUCGAAUCAAUUUAGAUAAUAUUAUUUAGAUGAUUAAAAAUUUAACUUGAUUUACAAAUUCAAUUCUAGAAUACUAUGGUACAGCUAUUUAUAUAUACUUGAAUGUGUUUACAAUCCGAACAAACUUGAAAAAUUGAAAUAUAUAUUACGUGAUGAUAAUAAUAUUUUCAUUAUCAAUUAUACAUCCUAUGUCUUAGUUCAAUUAAUAUAUUUUUUUUAAUUAGUUUUAAAAAGGAAUUGACAUUUUUUAUUUGGUUAGUAUUCUAUAACAUUAUUAAUAUUUUAAUCAUGUUAAAUUUCAUUUAUUUGUCAAAGAGUCCACAAAGGUAUACUCUUCUAUUUAAGGUUUAUUUAUUUUAAAGAUAAUUUGAAACAUUGCGAAGUUUUUUUCAUAUAUCAUAAAUUCGAUGUCGAAUCAAAAUGUUAUAAAUUGAAAUAAAGGAAGACGUAGUUUAUAGGAGGAUAUGCUAAUACUCAAAUAUGUUCCAUAAAAGAUAAAAAUGUGAAAUUAAUUUUAGCCACACAUUUAAUUGCAUAAAGUAACUAUACUAUAUUAUAGUAAGAUAAUAAAAGAAAUACUCAUAAUUAUUGAAUAGGUGUUUAUCUAUCAAACAUAAUAAGCAAUUCCUCCAUAAUUUCAAAACAUCAAAUGAUACAUAUCAUUACAAAGAUUUGCACUACAUAUAAUUUAUAAAAACAUAAUUAUUUACUCAGCACCUAUUAACUAUCUCAUGUUAAAUUACUACAAUAUAUAUCAUGAUAACUUUUAUUAAUUCCUUUGAUUCUCUUUAUUUGAGGUAGUAAUUUCCUCAUCAGGUAGACAAAUCACUUAAAAAGUAAUUUCUUACUUACUCUAUUAGAUUGGUCUCUUAUUUUUAACGUAUAUAAGACAUGACAUAAAGGCAACCUUUAACACUAUGAUUCAUUAAAAUGUUCAUCCGGUAGAUUCUUAUUUUUGUUUAUUAAACACCCAAAAAACGAAUCUAAAUAUAGUAAAAAUCAAUGUAUGUAUGAAUUAAUAUCCUUUAUUGUUUUGUAUCAUUCUUUAUAAAAUGUUAAUAAAUAGAUAUUUAUAAUCUUAAUCUAUUCUCUUGUAUAAUUUUUAAAUAAAGUAAAACAGAAAAACAUUAGAAUUAGUUGUUUAAUCUAAAAAAAAUGUUUGUUGAGCUGAUGUUAAAAUAAGAAUUAGAAUAUAUGAUAUUUUAAUGUUAAUUAUGAAACCUUAAAUAAGUUAUAAGAUAUUAUUAAAUUUUGUAAAAAUAAGAGUUAUAUUUUAUUAUAUAUUGUGAUUUCUGCUUUCAUUUUCUAUUGUGGUUCAUUCAAAAAUAUUAAUGAUCAUUUUUUUGGAAAACUAAUUAAAUAGCUAUAAGUAUAUCUAAAAUUGUAAUAUUAGGCCCGUAAAUGGGCCUUUCAUUAUCUAGUAUAUAUAUAUGUAUGGUUGUAUGCAUUGUGCAUGUUUUUACUGGAUUUUAUAAAUGACAUUAUUCUAUCCUUAUCCUGAGUGCAUGCUAGCGUUCACCCGCUAACCUGUCUACUGGCGAUUAUAUGCCUACGCUAUGCAAGAAUCGAUCAUUCUACUCCUCUUGCUUGGUGAUCGAAUUCUGGUGCAGUCGAGGUUGAAUUGAAGUGGUGAGUUUUCAUAGUUCGGAAGACAUCUAUUUCAUGUCAUGGUUUAUUUUACAUAUUUCUUGUCUUGCAUACACUGUGGUUUUAUAUUAUGGUCAGGGGCAUGUCCCGACUAGGUACUCUUUGGUUAGUCUAGAAGCUUUGUAUGGACAACUGUGGACUUGGGUAUGAUAUGUGGACUGUUUUGUUAUAUAAUUUCAUAUAUUUGCUUAUUAUUAUGGUAGUGGUUUAUGGUUUCCGCAUUGGUUUGGUUGGUCAUUAGGUGGUUGGACUUUAUUCGGUUGGUCUUGGAUAUAGACUUAUCCCAAAGUCACCACAUGGUUGGAUACUCUAUCUCGUUAUAUGUUCGGACUUCAGCCGACUCAAGGUAUGCGUUUGGUUGUCGGGUUGGGUAAUGGGGGCAGUUAUCGGUCCAGGUUGAGCUUGGGAUUACCCAUUACGACAAAGUUCUGGUUCAGGUCGUAUCAAAUAAGCAAUACUUGUGCUGCUUGAGGUAUCUGUAUCAUCAACAUGCAUGUAGCAUCGACAUGUUUGCUUGGUAUUUUAUGAGGAAAUGAUAUAGAUGUACAACAUUUCAAAACUAGUCAUGACAAAGGAAAGUUCGCUAUUUUAAUCUUCAAACUCAAAAUAAAAAUCCGAAAUAAUUGAAUCGAAUUUAUAGAAAUCGAAUCAAAUUAAAUUUAUUUUAAUUUGGUUACAAUUAUCAUUUUUAUCAAUCCAAAAAUCAAAUCGAUAUUAAAUAACCAAAUCGAAUACACCAAAUGUCCACCCUUAAUCAUAAGUUAGAGCUUUUAACUAAAAAUGCUAACAAUAAAAGCAGAAGCUAUAAGAUAGAAUUUGUGGCUAAGCCACAAGUCAAUCCAAAGAAGCACUUUCUCCGGUCUCCAUUGAGCUCCAAAAUAGCUGCGAGCAAAUCGUAGUCCUUUGACAAUGUAUCGAUCGGCAGCCAAGCGGUUACUUCCGGCGUUUUACCGCCGGCACCAGAAUGCCAUAUCACAUGUUCGAAUCCUAGCAGCAAACCGUCACACUCGAUUUAUGACUUCAUCUGCCACCGGAAAUAUUCGUGAUCACAACCCUAUUCCUCCGCCUAUCUCGAAUCCGGCCGACUGUACGGCAUCAUCAUCUUGGAAGGAAGAAGAAAGGACACACUAUACGGAAACUGAUGAAAAAUUUAGCUCGAGAACAAAGCUGUCUAAAGCGCAUUACAAGGACGAAGAGGCUCGUGUACUCAGUGCCUCUCUUCCUCAUGUGGUUCGUUACAUGUUACUUUUUUUUUCCCACAUUUUUUUUGUUCCUGUGCAGGUAUGAAUUUUGGGAUUAUAUGUGUAUAUUUAUGUGAUUAAUGUGUUGUUGUCUUGUGUGUUUUUGAUUUAAUUUGUUUUUGGGGAUAAUGUUGUUGGCUUGGUGAAAUUGGCUGCGUAAAUUGAUUACUUGACCUUAGAAUUUGUUAAACAUGCUAGUGUAUUUUAUCCCCUAAGAAAUGGGGUUUGGACCGUUAUGCCUUGUGAUUCUGCUGCCAAAUCUAUUUGGCGUAGAAUUAAUUUCUGCCCAGUACAUUCAGUAACCCAAUUGAGGAUCUAUCAGAAACAACCUCUCUACCUCUGAGGUAGAGGUGAGGUCUGCGCGCACUCUACCUUCCUCAGACCCGACUUAGCGGCACGACACUGGAUAUUAUGUUGUUGUAGAUUCAGUAAUCUAAUUGGAAAAGACAAAAAGGUUAAAAAAAGAAAAAAAUACCUCGUUUAAGACGUUAAUAGAGCUUUCCUUGAUGAAAGGAAUAUCAUGCCUUGUGAUAGAAGGUUCUCCUUAUAUACAUACACCCCAAAAAAGUUAUACAUGAUAUGCGUUUGGUAUGGAGAUAUUAAACUCCAACUGGCCCUUACCACGCUGGUGACUUUCCCUAAAAGUAACAAGAGGAGUAUUAGGGUGUUCACCGGUUAUGGAGCUAACCUUAUUAUUAGAGAAAGGAGAAAGGGAAGAUGCUUUCGUAAGGUAUUUUAUAGAAAAGAUGUUUUUACUCUAAGAAAUCUUUUUCUUGAUGGCUUUCCUCUGUUUGAUUGGGUUUAAAGGCCGGUGACUACAAAGUGUAUGUAAGUAUUAGAAUAUUGCUUUAGUGGUAUUUUGAGUUUUAAAGGUUGACAACAGAGGCUACGUGUUGAUUGAAGCAAGUGCGGUGGAGUAAAGAAGAGUACUUGUAAAGGGAAUCGACUUCUCGAUAAGUGAAGGAAGUUCUUUCUCCUUUUUAGUGGAAGUAUUUUCAUUGGAGAUUACAAUUUUUCGCAGUUUUAGGGCAACCAAACACUGAAAUAUUUCAUCAAGGAAAAUUCUUUUCAAAAAACGUAUUCUGACAUACAAACAUAUCCUGUAUCCCUUUGUAUAUAUCAGGCCUGAAAUUGGUGCUGGGUAACUUGUUUGCAGAUUCGGCUUGGAUGGACUGAAACAGCCAUGAUUGCAAGUGCAAGGGAUGUUGGAGUGUCGCCUUCCAUUGUUGGAUCAUUUCCUCGGAAAGAAGCUGCUCUAGUGGAGGUAAAUGAUGGUUCACCUACAUCUUACUCAUAGUUCUUGAUUCUUUAGUGUGAGUGCAAUUUGUGGGCAUUAUAGAGCUCCAACAUCUUUGGCUUUGCUAAAAUUGUUGGUAUUAGAUUGUCUGCCUCUCAGUAAUCUUCUAUUGGUUUUCCUCUUAUUCUAUCUGCACUUAUUUUAUCUGGUAUAAAUGUAACUUAAAGAAACUCCAUUGAGGUAAAUUAUGCAAAGUCAAAAAAAGUAACAGUCAUGUUUCUUUAUAAGAGGAUUAUUAAUGAUUUUUUGGUACAGUAAAAGGAUUAUUAAUGAUAUAUUCUUUUUAGCUUAUAAGUAUAUAGUUUAUAUAGCCAUUAUGUGCUCUCUAUGAUGAUCAACCAAACAAUGAGCUAAAUCCUAAGAUAUUGCUGAUUUGUGUAGUGUUGGCGAGAAGGCCUAAGAAGCUUAAAUGUUUCUGUCUCCGACAUUGUUUUUAAUGCAUAUUACCAUCGACAAGGUGCUUAAUGGUCAUUCAGCUGUCAAGCUUUGUCUUUUCUUGAAUCAUUUACAACACUGCUUUCGGUCUUAUGCUGGACUUUUACCUGUGUUAACAUUUAACAAUAGUUCUCACGUCAUCCCAAAAAAGCAUCUAAGUAGUUUAUUUGAUCUAGUUAAUGCUUGUAUUUUCUCCUUUUCCGUGAAUCAAUAAGUUAAUCCUCAAUCAAUUUUUUUACAUCAAACUUUUGCAGUAUUUUAUGGAUGAGUGUUUGGAAGGACUCAUCGAUAUCAUUGAAUCAAGGAAGGAUCUGAAAAACUUGAUACCUAGUGAGCGAGUGGCAAAGCUUGUCAGAAUUCGCUUGGAAAUGCAGACCCCUUACAUAUCAAAAUGGGCCCAAGCUCUCAGUAUACAGGUACUUAUCUCCUUGAAGUUAACAUUUUUUCAGGUCCCUUUCUUGUGUUGGUCUGUGUACGGUGAGUAGAAGUAUUUCAGAUAACAAGUACUGAUUGUAGGCUCAACCCUUGAAUGUCCCAACAAGCUUCAAGCAGCGUGCAAUGCUGGUUGAUGAGAUAUGGCAUGCUGUUGAUGAUGAUGCCAACGAAAUUGAUUGGUAUGUGAAGCGUACUGUUCUAGGUGGAAUAUACUCCACAGCAGAAUUAUACAUGUUGACAGAUAGCUCUCCAGGUGUGUUAUUUUUGACUGUUGUGUAUUUGUCCCAUGCUCGUUCUUCUCUUGAGGUCCUUCUAAUACAUGGUGUGUCUUAUUAAAAUUUUACAUUCAAUUAAAAACACAACUCUUUUACAAUCCUAACAUGCCCCACUGUCAACAGUUCUUCCCGCUUCCUACUGUGUUAUUGGCAUGUAAGUCAUAGAAUUGGAAGGAAGCCUCUUGGGUUAUUAGAAACUAUUCAUAUUCCUUGUUUCGCCAAAUCAGUUUUUAUAAAUUACAGAAGAAAGCAUUUUUGAUGUAGGAGGCAUGAGAGCAGAAGUAUUUCUCAGGAUAAUAGUUCCGCAAAAGAUUCACUCUUGCUUGCUCCUUAGUUCAUCAAACUGAGGUUGCCAAUAGAGGACAUGUUUUGCAGUAGCAGUGUUGUACCUGCGGGAAUAUAUGAAAUGUACGCACUUGAUCCUAAAUGAAUGGCCAACUUUUUGGGUCAUCCCAUGACAUUGCUGGCAUAAAGCAUGUAAGAUAUUAUGUGUUAAAAAUGUUGAAUAAGUCAUCCACUUAUUCACUAUAGCAUACAA